Non-coding RNA from Caenorhabditis elegans, 110 nucleotides. NCBI's taxonomy places the organism in Eukaryota, Metazoa, Nematoda, Chromadorea, Rhabditida, Rhabditidae. The record is from RefSeq.
AAAUGCAAAAAAAGGUAAGCCCAAUGCGGGGCUCGAACCCGCGACAACCAGAUUAAGAGUCUGGUGCUCUACCGACUGAGCUAACCGGGCGGCGAUAGGAACCGAGGCGC